AUGAUGAGAAGGCAUGGUAUUCUCUUCUGAGCAUGGAGCUGGCUUUAAGUGUUGCUUCUACAACUGCCUAUUGCCAUUGAUGAUCAGUCUUCUCCUCCUUUGGGGAAGUAAGAGGGAGAUGAUGCACUCUGUGU
Molecule: small nucleolar RNA, 134 nt
Filed under: Suricata suricatta (meerkat)
Lineage: Eukaryota; Metazoa; Chordata; Mammalia; Carnivora; Herpestidae
Description: Small nucleolar RNA U3 (ENSSSUG00005000338.1)
Rfam family: Small nucleolar RNA U3
About the family: Small nucleolar RNAs (snoRNAs) are involved in the processing and modification of rRNA in the nucleolus.
Source: Rfam by way of RNAcentral